Long non-coding RNA from Esox lucius (northern pike), 1162 nucleotides. Lineage: Eukaryota; Metazoa; Chordata; Actinopteri; Esociformes; Esocidae. The record is from Ensembl.
UUGUACCAAGUGUCCGGUGUGUUGUACCGAGUGUCCGGUGUGUUGUACCGAGUGUCCGGUGUGUUGUACCAAGUGUCCGGUGUGUUGUACCAAGUGUCCGGUGUGUUGUACCGAGUGUCCGGUGUGUUGUACCGAGUGUCCGGUGUGUUGUACCAAGUGUCCGGUGUGUUGUACCAAGUGUCCGGUGUGUUGUACCAAGUGUCCGGUGUGUUGUACCAAGUGUCCGAGGGAAAGGAAUUUGGGAUAAAUAUUGUGGUUCCCUGGGGAUUACCCAAUGCCUUUAAAUCCCUGUGGUAUAGGUCCUCUGGCUUUUGUCACCUGGAAGGCAGAGAUCGGCUCAACUUUUCUGACUUAAAAGGCGUGAUUGAAGUUUGUGUUCAGGUUGUCUACCGCAUGAGAACUGGUCCCCUUGGUGUCAUACAUUGUUGUAUUCCUCAGGGCAAGAAGGAUGUAUUUAUAACCAAAGUUUUUCAAAGGAAUUCAAGACAGCAAUUAAUAUUGCCAUUACAAAAUGUUAAAUUUGUGAUCAAUUAACAUUUUCUUCAAUGUGUGAUUACAGUACAUCCUUCUUUCAAUGCCAAACCCUCCAGAUUUACAGACUUCUGAUCUGACCAGUUCUAAUCCAAGUGCUUUCAUGAUCUGUGUGCUUGCUUUGUAACUCUUCAAAAUACACCAUUGGCAUGGAAAUGAAAUCUAAUUUUAGAUAUGUUGACCUAGGUGGCAAUGUUAUUGGGUGGAGGAUUUUUUCUUUUAAAAUGUUUAAGAAAAGUUCAGAAUGCUCUGUGAUGUUUCAGUAUAUGUUUAUAUUGUCAGUCCUACAUAGUGUUGGCUUUUUUACCGUAUGUAGCUGCACAGAUGUACAUAAAUAUAAAUCAAAUUACACAAUUAAUUAGUUAAAUUAGGUCAAUAAGAAACAUUUAGGUCCUUUCGCUCAUGUCUGAGCUUAGUGGGACUGUUAGGAACCAUUUAGUGCCUAACAAUCCCACUAAGCUAAUUCUGCUAAUUCAGACAAUGACAUGGGGACGCUAUGUCAAUUCAGACAAUGACAUGCAGCCUUAACAUGGGUAUAAAACUGCUCUUGCAGUCAUCCCAGUUGUUAGCAACAGAACAGGUCAGGGUUUCCCAAGUUUGGAGACAAAGACCAUUUAAUAUAAUAAACAGC